This 254-nucleotide ribosomal RNA is filed under the name uncultured bacterium. Its description in RNAcentral is "partial 16S ribosomal RNA". It matches the Rfam family "Bacterial small subunit ribosomal RNA", at positions 524 to 776 of the family's 1533-position model. The record is from RNAcentral.
UACGUAGGGGGGCCAGCGUUGUCCGGACUUACUGGGCGUAAAGCGCGCGCAGGCGGACUGGUAUGUGCCGUGUGAAAGCGCCGGGCUAACCCCGGCGAGGUCAUGGUAGACAGCUAGUCUGGAGCCUCGGAGAGGUCGGUGGAAUUCCGGGUGGAGCGGUGAAAUGCGUAGAGAUCCGGAGGAACACCAGGGGCGAAGGCGGCCGACUGGCCGAGUGCUGACGCUGAGGCGCGACGGCGUGGGGAGCAAACCGG